UACGUAGGGCGCAAGCGUUAUCCGGAAUUAUUGGGCGUAAAGAGCUCGUAGGCGGUUUGUCGCGUCUGCCGUGAAAGUCCGGGGCUUAACCCCGGAUCUGCGGUGGGUACGGGCAGACUAGAGUGCAGUAGGGGAGACUGGAAUUCCCGGUGUAGCGGUGAAAUGCGCAGAUAUCAGGAGGAACACCGAUGGCGAAGGCAGGUCUCUGGGCUGUAACUGACGCUGAGGAGCGAAAGCAUGGGGAGCGAACAGG
This 253-nucleotide ribosomal RNA is filed under the name uncultured bacterium. Its description in RNAcentral is "partial 16S ribosomal RNA". It matches the Rfam family "Bacterial small subunit ribosomal RNA", at positions 524 to 776 of the family's 1533-position model. The record is from RNAcentral.